This 374-nucleotide ribosomal RNA is filed under the name uncultured organism. Its description in RNAcentral is "partial 16S ribosomal RNA". It matches the Rfam family "Bacterial small subunit ribosomal RNA", at positions 526 to 896 of the family's 1533-position model. The record is from RNAcentral.
GGGGGGGGGCAAGCGUUGUUCGGAAUUACUGGGCGUAAAGGGCGCGCAGGCGGGCGGGAAAGUCUCUCGUGAAAUCCCACGGGCUCAACCGCGGAAUUGCGGGAGAUACUACUCGUCUUGAGUUCGGGAGAGGAGUGUGGAAUUCCCAGUGUAGCGGUGAAAUGCGUAGAUAUUGGGAGGAACACCGGUGGCGAAGGCGGCACUCUGGACCGAUACUGACGCUGAGGCGCGAAAGCUAGGGGAGCAAACGGGAUUAGAUACCCCGGUAGUCCUAGCUGUAAACGCUGAGCACUUGGUGUAGCGGGUAUCGACCCCUGCUGUGCCGAAGCUAACGCAUUAAGUGCUCCGCCUGGGGAGUACGGUCGCAAAGGCUG